UCCGUAAGGUGAACCUGCGGAAGGAUCAUUAUUGAAAUAAAGCUUGGUAUAUAGACUGUUGCUGGCUCUUAGGAGCAUGUGCACGUCUAUUCCAACUUUUAAUCAACUUCCACCUGUGCACUUUGUGUAGAUCUGAAUUGCAUUUCUUUCGAGUUAUAAACAGCUCGGUUUGAAGAAUUGCGUUCAAGCUUUUCUCUGUUAAUUCAGAUCUAUGUUUUAUCAUAACCCCACACGAAGUAACAGAAUGAUAUACAAAAUAAAAUACAAUACAACUUUCAACAACGGAUCUCUUGGCUCUCGCAUCGAUGAAGAACGCAGCGAAAUGCGAUAAGUAAUGUGAAUUGCAGAAUUCAGUGAAUCAUCGAAUCUUUGAACGCACCUUGCGCUCCUUGGUAUUCCGAGGAGCAUGCUUGUUUGAGUGUCAUGAAAUUCUCAACCUAAUCAGGUUUUGUAAUAAAGCUUGGUUCAGGCUUGGAUUAUGGGAGGUUGCUGGCUUUCCUAUAGUUCAGCUCUUCUAAAAUGUAUUGUGGAGAUCUCAUCAUUGAAUCACAUUGAUAUGAUAAUUAUCUAUAUCAUUGCUGGUCAAUAUUGUCUAAGCUCCUAUUAAACAGUCCUGUGUCGUUAGGACACAUUUCAUUUGAAACAUUGACCUCAAAUCAAGUAGG
RNAcentral lists this ribosomal RNA (665 nucleotides) under Entoloma subtenuicystidiatum. RNAcentral's name for it is "eukaryotic LSU rRNA". The stretch from base 271 to 424 matches the Rfam family "5.8S ribosomal RNA". Lineage: Eukaryota; Fungi; Basidiomycota; Agaricomycetes; Agaricales; Entolomataceae. The record is from RNAcentral.